This 432-nucleotide ribosomal RNA is filed under the name uncultured bacterium. Its description in RNAcentral is "partial 16S ribosomal RNA". It matches the Rfam family "Bacterial small subunit ribosomal RNA", at positions 29 to 506 of the family's 1533-position model. The record is from RNAcentral.
AACGAACGCUGGCGGCAUGCCUAACACAUGCAAGUCGAACGAGACCUUCGGGUCUAGUGGCGCACGGGUGCGUAACGCGUGGGAACCUGCCCUUAGGUUCGGAAUAACUCCCCGAAAGGGGUGCUAAUACCGGAUAAUGUCUUCGGACCAAAGAUUUAUCGCCUUUGGAUGGGCCCGCGUUGGAUUAGCUAGUUGGUAGGGUAAAAGCCUACCAAGGCGACGAUCCAUAGCUGGUCUGAGAGGAUGAUCAGCCACACUGGGACUGAGACACGGCCCAGACUCCUACGGGAGGCAGCAGUGGGGAAUAUUGGACAGUGGGCGAAAGCCUGAUCCAGCAAGGCCGCGUGAGUGAUGAAGGCCUUAGGGUUGUAAAGCUCUUUUACCCGGGAUGAUAAUGACAGUACCGGGAGAAUAAGCUCCGGCUAACUCCGU